Salmo salar (Atlantic salmon) is the source of this 1309-nucleotide non-coding RNA. The record is from RefSeq and is a predicted model, not a curated record. Lineage: Eukaryota; Metazoa; Chordata; Actinopteri; Salmoniformes; Salmonidae.
AGAGAUACUACGGGAUGGGAUGCAGUGAGAAUGCCACUGUGGCAGACUUCAAGGAAUCCGUCUACAGAUGAGAAUUGAUGCUCAAUAUCAAAUAACAUAUCUUUUUUAAAGGAGCUUUCAUCCAGCUGCUUUGCAGGAAUGGAAAUGAUUCGUGCCUACAAGAAUCAGCCAUCUGAGAAUCCAUGAACAACAUUUAAACUCAGGUGCUUCUAUGGAUGCUCCGGACAGUGUGGCCAUGGAUCCUGCCUUUCUUAUUGUGUCACAGCUUUUUCAUUGGUUAUAAUGUUGAUGGGAUAUCUAGAUACAAUCAACUUUUCAAUGUAUCUAAUAGAGCACUGUGGCUGUAUAUUUCUGUGUUAUGUGCAUCCAACCCUGUAGACACUGCACUAAUUCUGUCAUUCUAUCAUUCUAUGUACCUGUGCCUCCCUCCUGUCUCCUGCUGUCUCCCUCCUGUCCUGUCCCCUCCCCUCGGCCCGUAGUAAGCACAUCUGUCAGCUCUGCUCACUCUCACGCACUCACUGCGGUCCUGCUCACCUCGGUGAACAUUCAACGCUGUCGGUGAGUUUGGUAUGGAUCACAUAAAAACCAUCGACCGUUGACUGUGCCCCGCGGCCUGCCCUGACCACUUCAGAGUAGAGUUGAAGAAUUGGGGUGGUUACGAUGGACGAAAACCUGGAGGGAGGUGAAUGUGUACAAACACACACAUGCCACAGGCUGCCUUUCUUUCUUUGACUACAAGUAUGCACGCACACCACACUCACACACACAGUCUUUUUUUCUCCCCGUCUCGUCCCCCAGUCCAGCCCCUCCAAAGGCCUCUCAACUCCAAAGGUCACAAUCAACAUUCAUUGCUGUCGCUGGGUUGGACUCUGUGAAAAAGCUCACUGAACAAUGAGUGCAACUGUGGCCCAGUUUUUCCCUGACUAACAUCGGAUGGAACAUCUCUGCCAGAUCAUCCUGGAUGCACCACAUUCUGAUUUCUUAAUUUAUUUUAUGUCUUGUUUUCCCUUUUCUCUCUCUUUCCAUCUCUUCUCUCUCACCCUGGCUCUGGAUGUCUUCAGGGGGGAGAGGGAGAGACUUAAAUAGAGUCUUUGUCUGGGACUGCACCCUCAUCCUCAUCUUCCUCUCCUCUAAUUGGUGGUUGUGUGUGCAGUGAGGGGGAAGGAAGCCGAGUGAAUGUGUAAUCAUCUGGAGUAUCUUCUUCUUUAGCUAUUUCAUCCUCUCUUUGUGUGUGUGUUGUUGGUGUGUGUGUGUGUGUGUGUGUGUGUGUGUGUGUGUGUGUGUGUGUGUGUGUGUGUGUGUGUGUGUG